UUAGCUGUUGAUGUGGACUUUGUAGUUUCAAGGCCCAGUGUCAGCAGAAGUUCUCAUUACCUGACUUUCAUGUUGGACAGGUGUUCUUAUCAGUACCCUGGGUCUGGAGUUCCUCCUUGUCUUUGAAGUUCCCUGUUUUAGCAGACCGAGGUUAUCUGGCAAGCCAGAUAGAAGCUACUGGGACCUGAAGUAGCCUCUCGCGUGGAUAUUCCAAAGCAAGGUCCACAAAAAGAACUCUACAACCCUGGAGUCAAAACAGGCCCAGGACAGACUUGCAAUCAAUUAAAUAACCUAGAGGAGCAGGGACUUUGUAUCAAGGUACAGGUUUGUAGACGCCUACGUGUCCAGGCUGAAUUGAUCAAAAAGUAGCCAUGUGAACACAGGUCUUAUUCAAGAUCUCUUUUGUGUCAGUAUCUCUCCUUGAUUCAGCAUCCAAGGACACACAGUUCUGUGUGGGCAGAUUGAAGAAAGACAGGCUACCCUAUGCUGUCCAGUCCCAGCACAGUACAUCCUCUAUGCUCGGGGUUUGCUUAGCUGACACCUUGGCCAAGGCUUCUUUCUGCCUUCACUGGUGCCUACGAGUUCGGUAACAAGUAUUGAAGUGUGCCCCUUGUAACGCCGACGUGUGUUUUCCGUUUAUUACUUCCUGUGGACUGAGGGUAACUCAUAGAACUGCAGUGCGUGCUGAAGAGUGUGGACUAUGCCCAGAAGGACACUCACAGACAAAAUGGUCUCCUGUUCUCAUCUUUCCAGCACUCCUCUCGUCUGGUCUCUUCUCCACUAGUCGGAGUCUGAGAUGCGUGUGUGGUUUUUUUAGACUUCCCUAAAAGGUCCCCUGCCCAAGCUGGGGGCCGCAUCGUGGGUUACUCCAACCUGUUUGUCUUCUCAACUCCUGGAUCCACUGAAAACUACCGUGUUCCUAACUCACUGUAGUCAAGCUUCUUGGGUGUGGGGAGUAUUGUUUGGAAUUUUGUUGUUGCUGCUGCUGCUGCUGCUGCUGCAGCUGUUUGUUUUGGAGACAGAAUCUUGAGUAGCCCAGGGUGGCCUCAAUCUAACUGUGUAACUGAGGCAGGUCUUGAGCUCUCGAUAGUCUUGCCUCAGCUUCUUAGGUACUGGAAUGACCUCAUGUGCCACCACACCUGGCUUCCUUGUGAUAAAGUCUUGCUUUCUGCCUUAUGUGGCAACGCUGGUCUGUCAGCCAGACAUGUUCAUGGGUUUAUUCUCUUCCUCACCAGGAUCUCCCCCUGGACACUUGACCUCAUAAAAACCAGAGCCCUGAGAUGGAGCCAAGGACAUGCAUAAAGCUGUAGCCGGAAGAGAACAGAUGACUGAGGGAAAUAAUUUUAGGACAUUUUGGGAAUGGCAGAUGCUAAGUGGCUUCCAGGUUUUUAAAUGUUCUCUGUUGUGCUCUGUUUACUUUAUGACCAGUCCAUGUUUUGUCACUGAGGUACUCAGACCUUAUAAAAAGAAAAACUUUAGCUUGCAGUUUGAAAAGCUUUAAAAUCGAACCGGG
Molecule: long non-coding RNA, 1513 nt
Organism: Rattus norvegicus (Norway rat)
Lineage: Eukaryota; Metazoa; Chordata; Mammalia; Rodentia; Muridae
Source: RefSeq, a predicted model, not a curated record